RNAcentral lists this ribosomal RNA (1328 nucleotides) under uncultured bacterium. RNAcentral describes it as "bacterial SSU rRNA". It matches the Rfam family "Bacterial small subunit ribosomal RNA", at positions 66 to 1394 of the family's 1533-position model. The record is from RNAcentral.
ACGGCAGCACGGGAGCUUGCUCCUGGUGGCGAGUGGCGAACGGGUGAGUAAUAUAUCGGAACGUACCCUAGAGUGGGGGAUAACGCAGCGAAAGUUGCGCUAAUACCGCAUACGAUCUACGGAUGAAAGUGGGGGAUCGCAAGACCUCAUGCUCAUGGAGCGGCCGAUAUCUGAUUAGCUAGUUGGUGGGGUAAAGGCCUACCAAGGCAUCGAUCAGUAGCUGGUCUGAGAGGACGACCAGCCACACUGGAACUGAGACACGGUCCAGACUCCUACGGGAGGCAGCAGUGGGGAAUUUUGGACAAUGGGGGCAACCCUGAUCCAGCAAUGCCGCGUGAGUGAAGAAGGCCUUCGGGUUGUAAAGCUCUUUUGUCAGGGAAGAAACGGUGAGGGCUAAUAUCCUUUGCUAAUGACGGUACCUGAAGAAUAAGCACCGGCUAACUACGUGCCAGCAGCCGCGGUAAUACGUAGGGUGCAAGCGUUAAUCGGAAUUACUGGGCGUAAAGCGUGCGCAGGCGGUUAUGUAAGUCAGAUGUGAAAUCCCCGGGCUCAACCUGGGAAUGGCAUUUGAGACUGCAUGGCUAGAGUGUGUCAGAGGGGGGUAGAAUUCCACGUGUAGCAGUGAAAUGCGUAGAGAUGUGGAGGAAUACCGAUGGCGAAGGCAGCCCCCUGGGAUAACACUGACGCUCAUGCACGAAAGCGUGGGGAGCAAACAGGAUUAGAUACCCUGGUAGUCCACGCCCUAAACCAUAAUGGUAGUUGUCGGGAGUUAAUUCUCUUGGUAACGCAGGCAACGCGUGAAGUAGACAGCCCGGGGAGUGCGGUCGCAAGAUUAAAACUCAAAGGAAAUGUCGGGGAGCCGCCCAAGCGGUGGAUGAUGUGGAGUAAUUUGAUGCUACGCGAAAAACCUUACCUACCCCUGACAUGUACGGAACCUCUGAGAGAUUAGAGGGUGCUCGAAAGAGAGCCGUAACACAGGUGUUGCAUGGCUGUCGUCAGCUAGUGUCGUGAGAUGUUGGGUUAAGUCCCGCAACGAGCGCAACCCUUGUCAUUAGUUGAUACGAAAGGGCACUGUAAUGAGACUGCCGGUGACAAACCGGAGGAAGGAGGGGAUGACGUCAAGUCCUCAUGGCCCUUAUGGGUAGGGCUUCACACGUCAUACAAUGGUACAUACAGAGGGCCGCCAACCCGCGAGGGGGAGGUAAUCCCAGAAAGAGUAUCGUAGUCCGGAUUGUAGUCUGCAACUCGACUACAUGAAGUAGGAAUAGUUAGUAAUCGCGGAUCAGCAUGUCGCGGUGAAAAAGUUCCCGGGUCUUGCACUCACCGCC